Molecule: ribosomal RNA, 208 nt
Filed under: uncultured bacterium
Lineage: Bacteria
Description: partial 16S ribosomal RNA
Rfam family: Bacterial small subunit ribosomal RNA
Source: RNAcentral
UACGUAAGGACCGAGCGUUGUCCGGAAUCAUUGGGCGUAAAGGGUACGUAGGUGGUUAGAAAAGUUAGAAGUGAAAGGCUAUAGCUCAACUAUAGUACGCUUUUAAAACUGUUUAACUUGAGAUAUGGAAGGGACAGUGGAAUUCCUAGUGUAGCGGUGAAAUGCGCAGAUAUUAGGAGGAAUACCGAUGGCGAAAGCGGCUCGCUGG